RNAcentral lists this ribosomal RNA (484 nucleotides) under uncultured bacterium. RNAcentral's name for it is "partial 16S ribosomal RNA". It matches the Rfam family "Bacterial small subunit ribosomal RNA", at positions 30 to 507 of the family's 1533-position model. The record is from RNAcentral.
AUUGAACGCUGGCGGCAGGCCUAACACAUGCAAGUCGAGCGGAUGAAGGGAGCUUGCUCCUGGAUUCAGCGGCGGACGGGUGAGUAAUGCCUAGGAAUCUGCCUGGUAGUGGGGGAUAACGUCCGGAAACGGGCGCUAAUACCGCAUACGUCCUGAGGGAGAAAGUGGGGGAUCUUCGGACCUCACGCUAUCAGAUGAGCCUAGGUCGGAUUAGCUAGUUGGUGGGGUAAAGGCCUACCAAGGCGACGAUCCGUAACUGGUCUGAGAGGAUGAUCAGUCACACUGGAACUGAGACACGGUCCAGACUCCUACGGGAGGCAGCAGUGGGGAGUAUUGGACAAUGGGCGAAAGCCUGAUCCAGCCAUGCCGCGUGUGUGAAGAAGGUCUUCGGAUUGUAAAGCACUUUGAGUUGGGAGGAAGGGCAGUAAGUUAAUACCUUGCUGUUUUGACGUUACCAACAGAAUAAGCACCGGCUAACUUCGUG